GUAGGUGGCAAGCGUUGUCCGGAAUUAUUGGGCGUAAAGCGCGCGCAGGCGGUUUCUUAAGUCUGAUGUGAAAGCCCACGGCUCAACCGUGGAGGGUCAUUGGAAACUGGGGAACUUGAGUGCAGAAGAGGAAAGUGGAAUUCCACGUGUAGCGGUGAAAUGCGUAGAGAUGUGGAGGAACACCAGUGGCGAAGGCGACUUUCUGGUCUGUAACUGACGCUGAGGCGCGAAAGCGUGGGGAGCAAACAGGAUUAGAUACCCUGGUAGUCCACGCCGUAAACGAUGAGUGCUAAGUGUUAGAGGGUUUCCGCCCUUUAGUGCUGCAGCUAACGCGUUAAGCACUCCGCCUGGGAGUACGGUCGCAAGACUG
This 370-nucleotide ribosomal RNA is filed under the name uncultured organism. Its description in RNAcentral is "partial 16S ribosomal RNA". It matches the Rfam family "Bacterial small subunit ribosomal RNA", at positions 527 to 896 of the family's 1533-position model. The record is from RNAcentral.